RNAcentral lists this ribosomal RNA (324 nucleotides) under uncultured eukaryote. RNAcentral's name for it is "partial 18S ribosomal RNA". It matches the Rfam family "Eukaryotic small subunit ribosomal RNA", at positions 1470 to 1796 of the family's 1831-position model. The record is from RNAcentral.
CCCUUAGAUGUCCUGGGCUGCACGCGCGCUACACUGAUGUGUCCAGUAAGCACCUAACCUCUUCCGAAAGGAACGGGUAACCUUUGCAAAGCACAUCGUGAUGGGGAUAGAUUAUUGCAAUUAUUAGUCUUGAACGAGGAAUUCCUAGUAAGCACAAGUCAUCAGCUUGUGUUGAUUACGUCCCUGCCCUUUGUACACACCGCCCGUCGCUCCUACCGAUUGAAUGUUCCGGUGAGCUCUUCGGACUGCGCGGUCUGCAGUUUCUGCGUUCCGUGCGGAAAGUUGCGCAAACCUUAACAUUUAGAGGAAGGAGAAGUCGGAACA